UAACAGGUUAAGCUGACGAGUGGCGAACGGGUGAGUAAUGUAUCGGAACGUGCCCAGUCGUGGGGGAUAACUGCUCGAAAGAGCAGCUAAUACCGCAUACGACCUGAGGGUGAAAGCGGGGGAUCGCAAGACCUCGCGCGAUUGGAGCGGCCGAUAUCAGAUUAGGUAGUUGGUGAGGUAAAGGCUCACCAAGCCGACGAUCUGUAGCUGGUCUGAGAGGACGACCAGCCACACUGGGACUGAGACACGGCCCAGACUCCUACGGGAGGCAGCAGUGGGGAAUUUUGGACAAUGGGCGCAAGCCUGAUCCGGCCAUGCCGCGUGCGGGAAGAAGGCCUUCGGGUUGUAAACCGCUUUUGUCAGGGAAGAAAAGGUUCUGGCUAAUACCUGGGACUCAUGACGGUACCUGAAGAAUAAGCACCGGCUAACUACGUGCCAGCAGCCGCGGUAAUACGUAGGGUGCAAGCGUUAAUCGGAAUUACUGGGCGUAAAGCGUGCGCAGGCGGUUAUGCAAGACAGAGGUGAAAUCCCCGGGCUCAACCUGGGAACUGCCUUUGUGACUGCAUGGCUAGAGUACGGUAGAGGGGGAUGGAAUUCCGCGUGUAGCAGUGAAAUGCGUAGAUAUGCGGAGGAACACCGAUGGCGAA
RNAcentral lists this ribosomal RNA (647 nucleotides) under uncultured Roseateles sp. RNAcentral describes it as "bacterial SSU rRNA". It matches the Rfam family "Bacterial small subunit ribosomal RNA", at positions 76 to 719 of the family's 1533-position model. Lineage: Bacteria; Pseudomonadati; Pseudomonadota; Betaproteobacteria; Burkholderiales; Sphaerotilaceae. The record is from RNAcentral.